AAAAACGGCACGCUGCCAUUGUUGAAUGAGAAAUCUAGUGCUAUAAAAGGUCAACUUUUCAAAAACUCUGAAAAUAGAGCUUGAUGAAUAUUGCUUUUAUUCGCUUUCAGAAAUCACCCCACUUGAAGUAACAGUAAGAUGAAAAUGUAGAUCUGCGAAGAAUACAGCUCGUAGAAAAAAGAAGGAAACAGAGAUCGGAACCAAUCUUCAGGCAAAUUAUCCUCCUGUCUUUUUAAGCACAGAAACCAGAAAGGACUGACGCAGGAAGAAGAGAUUUUCUUACACCCCCAUCAUCUACCGGGAAGGAAGUCUCGGUGUAUCCUCUCUUCACCACCUCAGGGACGGAUAGGGCUUCCACUGGCAUCUUGUUUACAGACCAACAGGCUAAUGGGAACACAGGAAGGAGGCUAUGCUGCCUUGCAUCCACAGCCACUCUGACUGGCUUGCCAGCACGACAACAGUAAGACUCAAACUACCUGAACAGACAAAUGAAUCACACGUCACACUGUUAGGCAGCUAAGCACGGCAGCAACACUCUCAUUCUGUUUUCUUAAAAAAUUCCAGUAGCUUGCAUGGCAGAGAUAAAGUUUUAGCCCUUUAACAGUGUGCUCAAGCAGUUGGUUAAGCACAUUUUGAAUUGGG
This 642-nucleotide long non-coding RNA is filed under the name Dicentrarchus labrax (European seabass). RNAcentral's name for it is "lncRNA (ENSDLAG00005030165.1)". The record is from RNAcentral. Lineage: Eukaryota; Metazoa; Chordata; Actinopteri; Moronidae.